Molecule: ribosomal RNA, 701 nt
Filed under: uncultured Oscillatoriales cyanobacterium
Lineage: Bacteria; Bacillati; Cyanobacteriota; Cyanophyceae; Oscillatoriales
Description: bacterial SSU rRNA
Rfam family: Bacterial small subunit ribosomal RNA
Source: RNAcentral
AGUGGCGGACGGGUGAGUAACGCGUGAGAAUCUGGCUUCAGGAGGGGGACAACAGUUGGAAACGACUGCUAAUACCCCAUAUGUCUACGGAUGAAACGGUGAAUUCCGCCCGAAGAUGAGCUCGCGUCGGAUUAGCUAGUUGGUGAGGUAAAGGCUCACCAAGGCGACGAUCCGUAGCUGGUCUGAGAGGAUGAUCAGCCACACUGGGACUGAGACACGGCCCAGACUCCUACGGGAGGCAGCAGUGGGGAAUUUUCCGCAAUGGGCGAAAGCCUGACGGAGCAACGCCGCGUGCGGGAAGACGGCCUGUGGGUUGUAAACCGCUUUUCUCUGGGAAGAAUAAGUUGACGGUACCAGAGGAAUCAGCAUCGGCUAACUCCGUGCCAGCAGCCGCGGUAAUACGGAGGAUGCAAGCGUUAUCCGGAAUUAUUGGGCGUAAAGCGUCCGCAGGCGGCUUAUCAAGUCUGCUGUUAAAGGUCGGGGCUCAACUCCGGUUCGGCAGUGGAAACUGAUAGGCUAGAGUGUGGUAGGGAUAGAGGGAAUUCCCAGUGUAGCGGUGAAAUGCGUAGAUAUUGGGAAGAACACCAGUGGCGAAGGCGCUCUACUGGGCCACGACUGACGCUGAGGGACGAAAGCUAGGGGAGCGAAAGGGAUUAGAUACCCCUGUAGUCCUAGCUGUAAACGAUGGACACUAGGUGUUG